AUUGAACGCUGGCGGCAUGCCUUACACAUGCAAGUCGAACGGUAACAGGUCUUCGGAUGCUGACGAGUGGCGAUCGAGUGAGUAAUACAUCGGAACGUGCCCGAUCGUGGGGGAUAACGGAGCGAAAGCUUUGCUAAUACCGCAUACGAUCUACGGAUGAAAGCAGGGGACCGCAAGGCCUUGCGCGGACGGAGCGGCCG
This 200-nucleotide ribosomal RNA is filed under the name uncultured bacterium. RNAcentral's name for it is "partial 16S ribosomal RNA". It matches the Rfam family "Bacterial small subunit ribosomal RNA", at positions 30 to 232 of the family's 1533-position model. The record is from RNAcentral.